RNAcentral lists this unclassified non-coding RNA (381 nucleotides) under uncultured Bacteroidota bacterium. Its description in RNAcentral is "uncultured Bacteroidetes bacterium contains 16S-23S intergenic spacer region". The record is from RNAcentral. Lineage: Bacteria; Pseudomonadati; Bacteroidota.
UCACUACUUGCGUAGGCAGUCUGGCUAGAGUCCCCACCACAACGUGCUGGUAACUAACCACAGGGGUUGCGCUCGUUGCGCCACUUAAGGCAACACCUCACGGCACGAGCUGACGACAGCCAUGCAGCACCUUCCAUGGUGCCCCGAAGGGACACUCCGUUUCCGGAGCCGUCACCACAGAUUUAGCCCAGGUAAGGUUCUUCGCGUUGCAUCGAAUUAAGCCACAUGCUCCACCGCUUGUGCGGGCCCCCGUCAAUUCCUUUGAGUUUCAUUCUUGCGAACGUACUCCCCAGGUGGUGUGCUUACUGCGUUAACUGCGUCACUGAUCACGACUUACAUCGCAACCAACAACUAGCACACAUCGUUUACAGCGUGGACUAC